CACGUAAGCAACCUGCCCCAAAGACCGGGACAACAGUGGGAAACCGCUGCUAAUACCGGAUGUGUCCGCCUUUUCGCAUGGAUGAGGUGAGUAAAGCGAAGCAAUUCGGCUUUGGGAGGGGCUUGCGGCCUAUCAGCUAGAUGGCGGGGUAGUGGCCCACCAUGGCGACGACGGGUAGCUGGUCUGAGAGGAUGGUCAGCCGGACUGGGACUGAGAUACGGCCCAG
This 226-nucleotide ribosomal RNA is filed under the name uncultured bacterium. RNAcentral's name for it is "partial 16S ribosomal RNA". It matches the Rfam family "Bacterial small subunit ribosomal RNA", at positions 114 to 334 of the family's 1533-position model. The record is from RNAcentral.